AUUAGACGAAUCAUCUGGAAAGAUGAAUCAAAGAAGGUAAUAAUCCUGUAGUCGAAAAUGUUGUCUCUCUUGAGUGGAUCCUGAGUACGACGGAGCACGUGAAAUUCCGUCGGAAUCUGGGAGGACCAUCUCCUAAGGCUAAAUACUCUCUAGUGACCGAUAGUGAACCAGUACCGUGAGGGAAAGGUGAAAAGCACCCCGGAAGGGGAGUGAAAUAGAACCUGAAACCGUGUGCUUACAAGUAGUCAGAGCCCGUUAAUGGGUGAUGGCGUGCCUUUUGUAGAAUGAACCGGCGAGUUACGAUUUGAUGCAAGGUUAAGCAGUAAAUGUGGAGCCGUAGCGAAAGCGAGUCUGAAUAGGGCGUUUAGUAUUUGGUCGUAGACCCGAAACCAGGUGAUCUACCCUUGGUCAGGUUGAAGUUCAGGUAACACUGAAUGGAGGACCGAACCGACUUACGUUGAAAAGUGAGCGGAUGAACUGAGGGUAGCGGAGAAAUUCCAAUCGAACCUGGAGAUAGCUGGUUCUCUC
This 528-nucleotide ribosomal RNA is filed under the name Staphylococcus aureus. Its description in RNAcentral is "partial 23S ribosomal RNA". It matches the Rfam family "Bacterial large subunit ribosomal RNA", at positions 328 to 859 of the family's 2925-position model. Lineage: Bacteria; Bacillati; Bacillota; Bacilli; Caryophanales; Staphylococcaceae. The record is from RNAcentral.